CAGUAAAGAUUGGAAAGCAAAAUCAACUAUGGAAUGAUUGUGUUUUGAAAUUUGUAAGUAUCUCUUGAUAUGUGCAUGUAUUUACCACAGAAGUAGCCUCCAUUAUUGUUUCUUACAGGUUUCAGUUUCACAAUAGAUGAUCUUGGUUGAUAUCUUACUUCCUGUAUCACAGGUAAUCUCUGAAGUCUUAGAUCAAACAAACUCUGUUUUACUGUAGUUUUGCACCCCAUUGUGACCGAGUCCAAAGUUGGACUUGUCUACCCUUCCAAAAGAGAAAAUCUUCUCCAGAUCCUUGGUUCCACUAUUCAACAUGUGAAUCUUGUUUCUAGUUUCAGAUUUCUUUCAUCAAAAUCCAUUGUGUCAGUGUCUAAGCAGUGCACAUAGCUGUCUUCUUGGAUUUAAACUUUGAGGGUGAACAUCUGAGAAGUUUCUUUCCAAGCUUUAUUGUCUUUGUAUGUCUUUCCCCUGGUUUGUGCUUCAUUUGCUAUGGCACUCAGUUUUUCCACUGAGUUAAAUGAUUCAUUCUCAUCUAUCUGCAGAUUUUAAAACUUAGAUGCAAGCAUACAGAUUCUUGAUCUUUUCACAUUUGAUGAUCCUUCACAUGCUUUCUUUUAACUUAUUCCCAGCUCACCAUUUGUAAUUACUUAAUAGGAACCGAGCAAGUCUCUCUUUCAAUAAGAUGCAAUCAAAGUGUUGAAAAAAAACAAAGGCUAUCAGCAAAACAAGUGAGAAUAGUGAAACUCUGUUUUACUGUAGUUUUACACCCCCAUUGUAACCAAGUCCAACCCUUCUAACAGAGAGAAUCUCUUCCAGAUCCUUGGUUCCACUAUUCAGCAUGUGAAUCUCUUCCAGACAGUUCUUCCUUGAGUUUCUCAUUCGUUGUUUGAAGUAA
Molecule: long non-coding RNA, 892 nt
Organism: Raphanus sativus (radish)
Lineage: Eukaryota; Viridiplantae; Streptophyta; Magnoliopsida; Brassicales; Brassicaceae
Exons: 2
Source: RefSeq, a predicted model, not a curated record